This 253-nucleotide ribosomal RNA is filed under the name uncultured bacterium. Its description in RNAcentral is "partial 16S ribosomal RNA". It matches the Rfam family "Bacterial small subunit ribosomal RNA", at positions 524 to 776 of the family's 1533-position model. The record is from RNAcentral.
UACGAAGGGGGCUAGCGUUGUUCGGAAUUACUGGGCGUAAAGCGCACGUAGGCGGGUCGUUAAGUCGGGGGUGAAAUCCCGGAGCUCAACUCCGGAACUGCCUUUGAUACUGGCGAUCUAGAGAUCGGAAGAGGUGAGUGGAAUUCCCAGUGUAGAGGUGAAAUUCGUAGAUAUUCGGAGGAACACCAGUGGCGAAGGCGGCUCACUGGCUCGAUACUGACGCUGAGAGACGAAGGCCAGGGGAGCAAAAAGG